This 110-nucleotide ribosomal RNA is filed under the name Cavia porcellus (domestic guinea pig). Lineage: Eukaryota; Metazoa; Chordata; Mammalia; Rodentia; Caviidae. The record is from RNAcentral.
CUCUAUGGAUAUACCACCCUGAAUAUGCCUGAUCUCAUGAAGCUAAGCAAGGUUGGGGCUGGUUAUUACUUGGAUCGGAGAAAUAAGAUCAAUUCAGCUUUUUAAAAAAA